CAGGAGGUGGGCGGGAGGCCGCGGAGGAACCGGAGGCUCCGCCCGAUCGCCGAGAUCUACGCCGCCACGGCGCCGAUCGGCGGCGGAAGGAAGGCCAAGGCCAAGGCCGCCGGCGUAGAGUAGUAGUAGCCGGCCGGGGAGGGACUUGUUUGUAAAUAUAAGUUAUUUGCAGGGACUAGCUUGUUGAGUAAGUAAUAUUUAAGGGCGUGAUUAGAUUAAUUGCUAGCGUAGCUUAGUUGUAAAUUAUGUUACUACUACUAGAGGUUUUGAGUUUAAUCAAUCAAUCGUCCUACUAUAAAUAUUAUCAUGUUUGUUUUCUUUACAAGAGGAAUGAAAAACCUAUAUAUAAU
This 350-nucleotide small RNA is filed under the name Oryza sativa Japonica Group (Japanese rice). RNAcentral's name for it is "sRNA Os08g0550000". Lineage: Eukaryota; Viridiplantae; Streptophyta; Magnoliopsida; Poales; Poaceae. The record is from RNAcentral.